This 1200-nucleotide long non-coding RNA is filed under the name Sus scrofa (pig). RNAcentral's name for it is "lncRNA (ENSSSCG00005012971.1)". The record is from RNAcentral. Lineage: Eukaryota; Metazoa; Chordata; Mammalia; Artiodactyla; Suidae.
GGGUCUUGGGAUCAUCUCAUUCUCACCUGGCCCUUUCAAGUCAUUCUAGGAAACUGAGGCUCAGAGAGGGAAGGGGGCUGGUCCAAGAUCACAUGCUACUGGCGCAUUUAGAUGCUCUCUGCCAUUGGUUAGUCUGUAUCGGUUUCUCCCGUGGGACCGUCCUAGGUUAGAGGAUAAAAUGGCUUAUUCCUCGUAAGGGCAGGUAGCAUAUUCUGGGUUUUUCCCAUAAAUAGGUCAGAUUUUCUUUUUGACAUUGAAAUUUGGGGCACCUGUCCAGAAAUGUGAGAUUUUAAAGUUGGGGUAGGGAGGUACCACUCACGCAGUUAGCCUGCAUUUGUAGUGAACUUGAGCAGGUAAGAGGAAAGUAGGAGGAACCUUUUAGCACACUUUUUUUCCCCCUAAGAUACACCGUGAGGGCGUUCUCUUGUAGCUCAGCCAGUUAAGGAUCUGAUGUUGUCACUGCAGCAGCUUGGGUCACUGCUGUGGUGUGGGUUCAGUCCCUGGUGUGGGAGCGUCUACAUGCUGUUGAUGCAGCCAAGAAAAAAAAAAAACACCGUGAUUUUCCUUCACUUUUGUGCAUUCAGAUGAAGCAAAGCCUGUUCAUUGCCCAGGCUCUCUGGCAGCCUGAAGAAACUUGUAGGAUUGGCUUUUCGGGGUAACUGAGACGUCAGCUACGUUAGGUAAAUUCUUUCAGUUCUUGAUGUUAAAGACUCAGUUGCUGGGAUUUCCCUGAUGGCCUAAUGGCUACGGAUCCAGCAUCAUCACUGCUGUGGCUCCGGCCUCUGCUUUGGAAAGAGUUCAGUCUCUGGCCUGGGAAUUUUUGCAUGCCAUAGACAUGGCCAAAACAAUAAAAAAAGACUUGGUUAUUUUAUAAUCAUUUCCUUUUCUUCAUUGACUAACAGGCCGAGAUAUAGAAAGGUAAAAAAGCUGAAUUAAGAGUAAAUAAUUUCCAGAGUUCCUGUUGUGGUACAGUAGAAAGGAAUCCGGCUAGGAACCAUGAGGUUGCGGGUUCAAUCCCUGGCCUCUCUCAGUGGGUUAAGGAUCUGGCAUUGUUGUGAGCUUUGGUGUAUGUUACAGAUGUGACUCGGAUCCCAUGUUGCUGUGGCUGUGGUGUAGGCCGGUGGCUCCAGCUCCGAUUCAACCCCUAGCCUGGGAACCUCCAUAUGUCGUGGAUGUGGCUCUGAAAAGAAAAAAAAAAAA